Molecule: ribosomal RNA, 439 nt
Filed under: uncultured bacterium
Lineage: Bacteria
Description: partial 16S ribosomal RNA
Rfam family: Bacterial small subunit ribosomal RNA
Source: RNAcentral
CUACGGGUUGCAGCAGUGAGGAAUAUUGCACAAUGGGGGGAGCCCUGAUGCAGCAACGCCGCGUGGAGGAUGACGCAUUUCGGUGUGUAGACUCCUUUUAUAUGUCAAGAAAAUGACGGUAGCAUAUGAAUAAGCACCGGCUAACUCCGUGCCAGCAGCCGCGGUAAUACGGAGGGUGCAAGCGUUACUCGGAAUCACUGGGCGUAAAGGACGCGUAGGCGGGCUUGUAAGUCAGGUGUGAAAUCCUACAGCUUAACUGUAGAACUGCACUUGAAACUACGAGCCUAGAGUAUGGGAGGGGGAGAUGGAAUUAGUGGUGUAGGGGUAAAAUCCGUAGAUAUCACUAGGAAUACCUAAAGCGAAGGCGAUCUCCUGGAACAUAACUGACGCUAAGGCGUGAAAGCGUGGGGAGCAAACAGGAUUAGAUACCCCCGUAGUC